AACGAACGCUGGCGGCAUGCCUAACACAUGCAAGUCGAACGAAGGCUUCGGCCUUAGUGGCGCACGGGUGCGUAACGCGUGGGAAUCUGCCCUUUGGUUCGGAAUAACAGCUGGAAACGGCUGCUAAUACCGGAUGAUGACGAAAGCCCAAAGAUUUAUCGCCAGAGGAUGAGCCCGCGUUGGAUUAGGUAGUUGGUGGGGUAAAGGCCUACCAAGCCGACGAUCCAUAGCUGGUCUGAGAGGAUGAUCAGCCACACUGGGACUGAGACACGGCCCAGACUCCUACGGGAGGCAGCAGUGGGGAAUAUUGGACAAUGGGCGCAAGCCUGAUCCAGCAAUGCCGCGUGAGUGAUGAAGGCCCUAGGGUUGUAAAGCUCUUUUACCCGGGAAGAUAAUGACUGUGCCGGGAGAAUAAGCCCCGGCUAACUCCGUG
This 433-nucleotide ribosomal RNA is filed under the name uncultured bacterium. Its description in RNAcentral is "partial 16S ribosomal RNA". It matches the Rfam family "Bacterial small subunit ribosomal RNA", at positions 29 to 507 of the family's 1533-position model. The record is from RNAcentral.